Molecule: ribosomal RNA, 245 nt
Filed under: uncultured bacterium
Lineage: Bacteria
Description: partial 16S ribosomal RNA
Rfam family: Bacterial small subunit ribosomal RNA
Source: RNAcentral
UACGAAGGGUGCAAGCGUUAAUCGGAAUUACUGGGCGUAAAGCGCGCGUAGGUGGUUUGGUAAGAUGGAUGUGAAAUCCCCGGGCUCAACCUGGGAACUGCAUCCAUAACUGCCUGACUAGAGUACGGUAGAGGGUGGUGGAAUUUCCUGUGUAGCGGUGAAAUGCGUAGAUAUAGGAAGGAACACCAGUGGCGAAGGCGACCACCUGGACUGAUACUGACACUGAGGUGCGAAAGCGUGGGGAG